Long non-coding RNA from Onychostoma macrolepis, 760 nucleotides. RefSeq lists it as uncharacterized. The transcript has 4 exons. Lineage: Eukaryota; Metazoa; Chordata; Actinopteri; Cypriniformes; Cyprinidae. The record is from RefSeq and is a predicted model, not a curated record.
UAAAAAUGACGGUUAUUUUCGUCUGUAUUACUAUUCAACAGUAACUGUAUGUUACUAUGGUUACCAAUGUUUAUAGGAAGCGCAUUAAUAUAGAACGUGAUUAAACUGACCUGGAACUACCUGUGCAGUUCAACGAAUUUAAUCAACACCUGCCAGCCAAUCAGAAUCCAGUAUUCAGACAGACCAUGGCAUAAAGCGGUAUGUUCUUAUUUUUACCAGCUUCUGCAAGCUUGUAUGGCGUCUGGCUGUUGGAACCUCACUGUGACUUCAGAUAAGAACAAAGAUUAAAUUGUAAGAAGAGCUGCUUGUAAGAGCAUACAGUACAUCUGAAACUGCUGAGGCUGGGAAUGUUUUUGACUAUAUUUCCGACCAGAUCAGCUGCUAUAGAAGACAAACUGAAAUCUGAGUGCAGAGACAAGCAAAGGAAUACUGCAAGGCACUUGUGCAAAAUAUUGUAUGCCAGGACGACUAGGCUGUGCCCAGGUCUCCGGAACCUGUGACGACGCUCAGCUCCAUCGGCCCUCCAUCUACAUCUUGGCUACUCCCUCCCUCGACUCCGCCGUGUAUUGUCAGCACUGGGAUGCUCUGGGUCUGUGCCAUGUGCCAAACUCCAUCUAAGCCGCCAGGGCAUCAUCGUCAUCCUCCCAUCACCAUCCCUUCACCACAUCCUGCCAUCAUCCCGCACCUUUGCCUCUCACCAUUCCUACACCAUUUUUAAUACAUUUAAUAGUAUGUUUUUUGUUCUUCACCAAAGCAUAUA